RNAcentral lists this ribosomal RNA (274 nucleotides) under uncultured bacterium. RNAcentral's name for it is "partial 16S ribosomal RNA". It matches the Rfam family "Bacterial small subunit ribosomal RNA", at positions 523 to 796 of the family's 1533-position model. The record is from RNAcentral.
AUACGGGGGGUGCAAGCGUUAUUCGGAUUUAUUGGGCGUAAAGAGCGCGUAGGCGGCUUGGUAAGUCAGAUGUGAAAGCCCGGGGCUCAACCCCGGAAGUGCAUUUGAAACUAUCAGGCUUGAGUAUGGGAGAGGGAAGUGGAAUUCCUGGUGUAGAGGUGAAAUUCGUAGAUAUCAGGAGGAACACCGGUGGCGAAGGCGACUUCCUGGACCAAUACUGACGCUGAGGCGCGAAGGCGUGGGGAGCAAACAGGAUUAGAUACCCGGGUAGUCC